RNAcentral lists this ribosomal RNA (492 nucleotides) under uncultured bacterium. RNAcentral's name for it is "partial 16S ribosomal RNA". It matches the Rfam family "Bacterial small subunit ribosomal RNA", at positions 29 to 507 of the family's 1533-position model. The record is from RNAcentral.
AGUGAACGCUGGCGGUAGGCCUAACACAUGCAAGUCGAACGGCAGCACAGUAAGAGCUUGCUCUUACGGGUGGCGAGUGGCGGACGGGUGAGGAAUACAUCGGAAUCUACUUUUUCGUGGGGGAUAACGGAGGGAAACUUACGCUAAUACCGCAUACGACCUACGGGUGAAAGCAGGGGAUCUUCGGACCUUGCGCGAUUGAAUGAGCCGAUGUCGGAUUAGCUAGUUGGCGGGGUAAAGGCCCACCAAGGCGACGAUGCGUAGCCGGUCUGAGAGGAUGAUCAGCCACACUGGAACUGAGACACGGUCCAGACUCCUACGGGAGGCAGCAGUGGGGAAUAUUGGACAAUGGGCGCAAGCCUGACCCAGCCAUACCGCGUGGGUGAAGAAGGCCUUCGGGUUGUAAAGCCCUUUUGUUGGGAAAGAAAAGCAGCAGGUUAAUACCCCGCUGUUCUGACGGUACCCAAAGAAUAAGCACCGGCUAACUUCGUG